Molecule: unclassified non-coding RNA, 1666 nt
Filed under: Yarrowia lipolytica
Lineage: Eukaryota; Fungi; Ascomycota; Dipodascomycetes; Dipodascales
Source: RNAcentral
AUUUAUACAGCUCUCUGUGCUCUCUCUGUGCUCUGUGGGCUCUGCUCUCUGUGCUCUGUGUUCUCUGAGCACUCUGUCCGGGAAACGGUAGCAAUAGACAGACAGAGACUCGCGCCCGACCAGGAAGAUGACGUUGCAAAAUGGGUUAUACAGAGAGUGAGAGCGGGUGGCCUCCCGAACAUGAAGACGUGGCCGACUUGCAAGUGGUUGCUCUCAUGGCUAUGGUCCCAUCGGAAAAAGAUGAAUCAGCAGGUUCCUCAAGCGCGCCAUGGUGUUCUCAAGUCGGGUGUGGAGGCGGUACGAAUGGACGACAAACGGUCGGUUCUAUACCCACAUUGGACGCGAAAAGUUCGCCAGUAUCGCCUACUAUGACGUUUGGAACAUGGACCAGAUGGGCAACGGUGGAGAGUGACUGUCAUGCUGAACAGACAAUGUUUCAGAGGACACCGAAAGCCGGAAAGUGGAAUACCGUGGUUGAGGCGGUUUCUGCCGGAGGAAAACCAUCCCACCACUGGUCACCUUCAGAGGGUGCGAUCCAGACAAGAGCACUCGACAGCUCCGUCAGGGGUGGCAUGUGACCGUGCAAAAGAAGGCUUGAUUGAUUGACAACUGAAAUUUUCGACGUGAAUAGCGACCGUCGAUGAAGCUGUCCUCACGCCUCCCGAGGAUGAGUCUACCUUGAUCUCGGAUGAUUCUCUGGACGAUUCAUUGAGUUUCCCGACAUCCGUGGGCAAGAAAAACCCGUUCUCUGCCAGCCCCGGAGCCCAGAAAGCCUGGGAGGAGCUUUGUGCUUCAAGGAGGACCUCUGAUAUCGAGCUUCGUGAGUACCUGUGGGAAUGUAUUCUAAGCCGACUUUUACAGAGUCAGGGCUUGAAAAAUCAAGAGCACUUCAUGUAGUCUUGAUGAAGGGGUCCUAAAGACUAGACGGACGGACGAGGAGAGUGAAAGUGAGGUUGAGGUGGCACCGCAUGACAAUCUCCUCUUCGCAGUCAUCUGAUAGAUCUUCCCCGCCCCAGCUCCGGCGGCCAACGACUUCCCUAGGCGACGCGGGAGAUCUUGUGCUGCUUCCACCGAAACUUUCGAGGCUGGGCUAGUGCCAGGAGCUGAUACGAGUACCCCUGUCCAGAAACGCCCGAGAGGAAGACCUCGAAAACAGUGAGCUGUUCAGAUGUCGAUAGGCCGAGAAAGAGAGGACGUCCGCCGAAGAAUACGCUACCCGAGGCUCCACCACACUCUACUUGUGUACCAGUCGUCGAGACCUUGGGUAAUGUGUCUCGUUGCAGUGGUCAAUGACUUCUAGGACUCCAACCAGCACAUUAGGUGGGAACGCUUGUGCAAUGUGGUGUGUAACCUGGGUGGAUAUACUUGAUAGUAGUUGUGUAAUAAUCAUUGUGAUUUGAACCAACUACUUUAUGAACAUCCAUACUUUCCUUCAUAAUACAAAUCAGGACAAGCCUUGUCAACCAGAUAACUGAAAGACCUUUGCGUGAAGACCUGUACAAGUGUACUAGUAGCUGUUUGUGCUUAAGGACAACGGUUGGUGCUCAGCUGAGAUCUUGGGUCAUUUCUGAUGCUGAGUAAGAGAUGUCUUUCACGUAUGAAUCUGUGGAGUCAAGACUUGUUUAUGGAUAAUCAACCAAUGGUGUUUUUCGCCUUACAAGCGGAA